GUGCUUAACACAUGCAAGUCGAGCGAUGAAGCUCCUUCGGGAGUGGAUUAGCGGCGGACGGGUGAGUAACACGUGGGUAACCUACCUCAAAGAGGGGGAUAGCCUCCCGAAAGGGAGAUUAAUACCGCAUAAUAAUCAGUUUUCACAUGGAGACUGAUUUAAAGGAGUAAUCCGCUUUGAGGGAUGGACCCGCGGCGCAUUAGCUAGUUGGUAGGGUAAGCGCCUACCAAGGCGACGAUGCGUAGCCGACCUGAGAGGGUGAUCGGCCACAUUGGAACUGAGAGACUAUCCAGACUCCUACGGGAGGCAGCAGUGGGGAAUAUUGCACAAUGGGCGAAAGCCUGAUGCAGCAACGCCGCGUGAGUGAAGAAGGUUUUCGGAUUGUAAAGCUCUGUCUUUGGGGACGAUAAUGACGGUACCCAAGGAGGAAGCCACGGCUAACUACGUGCCAGCAGCCGCGGUAAUACGUAGGUG
RNAcentral lists this ribosomal RNA (474 nucleotides) under uncultured prokaryote. RNAcentral's name for it is "bacterial SSU rRNA". It matches the Rfam family "Bacterial small subunit ribosomal RNA", at positions 44 to 533 of the family's 1533-position model. The record is from RNAcentral.